Molecule: non-coding RNA, 1470 nt
Organism: Paramormyrops kingsleyae
Lineage: Eukaryota; Metazoa; Chordata; Actinopteri; Osteoglossiformes; Mormyridae
Source: RefSeq, a predicted model, not a curated record
AAAAUGACGUCACUGUAGAUCCAACGAAGUGCACUGAAAAGUCCACUGGUGGGUUCCAAAACAAUACUACCCACACAAGUGGUGGCCGCACAUAUCCACCGUUCAAUCGCAAUUUCUGUUAUAUUGGGCAAGACACUGGCAAUGGAAAGUGGAAUGAUUGCUCUGGUCGAUUGAAUAGUGUUGUCAUGACACUCCCACAGACAUGCAUUAUAUACAGUCAAGUUCCCCAACGGAAAUGCCGGCGGCCCAAUCCAAGUCCAACGCGUAAGUAUCCCAAGCAUCUGUCUCCAAUGAGAUGGCAGAAUAUUUCUCAGUGUGCAAUACUGACAUCAAAGUGUUAUAUCUGUCUGUCACUAACAGCCAUCAGUUGAUUUGUGUCUUGUAUUUUUGCAUUUUAUUUUGUAUGAUUUUACUGUCAUUCAUCUUAAAAAAAACUGGAUAAGUUAUAAGGUAACUCAUUUCUUUUCACAAUUUUAUUGGUUACUCUAUCACAUACUAAAGGCAUGCAGGUAUACAGUACAGUAGAUAAUUGCUUUUAACUGAAUCACUUUUCAGAAGAAAUGAAGCAUUGUUUCAAUGAGCUGUAAGGGUACCAACAAAUUUGUCCACAUCUGUAGAUAUAAAUAAAAAAUAUAUGUAUAGUUUACCCAUGCAUACUCUCAUGGCUAUCUUGGAAAUUGGGAAAGUUAAAAGGUAACCAAGUAUCUUGGUGAUUCCUCUGACUAUUAGAAGAAGCUUUUUCUUUGUCUAACAAGCACCCCUCUCUGCAUACUCUACAUUCCUUCUUAUCUGAUCCCACAGUUGGUCAGUCGGGCCGUUUCUAUGUUCUUUACUUUUUAUUUCAAAUGAAUUAAUCAAUAUAUUUAUUGUUAAACAUGGAUAGCAGAUUAUUGUAAUAAGCCAACCACAGAUUGUCAUUUACAAAUGUUUAAUUGAGACUGUGAUUAUAGUGAACUAACGGCCACGCCUAACUCUAUCUCGGGUUACAAUGUGCUGUCAGGAUGUGGAAUUUGGAAUGUAACUUAUGUAAAACUAAUCUAAAAGUGUCAACAUGCGGUGAUGUGCAACAAUAACCACCCAUACUAAGUACUGAUAUGGGUCAUCAACAUGCACGGUGUGAAUUAGAGUGUGAAUUAAUUAAUGUAGAUUGUAUGAGGUGUGAACCUCUAGGUUGGUAUGACGAUGCUCCUAAAUUGAAAUCUGGUCAGGUAUUGUCAUAAAAUGGUACGUAUCCAAAAAAUGUCUCCCUCAUCGAGACAUCACUCACCACAGUCGGAGCAUACACUGAGACAACAGACAGGACACCCAAGGAGUGCCUUAGCCUGAAUCUCAUAAUACGCUCAAAGCUAAUUUUCUCGAUCUCUAAAUUUACAAGCAAUUAUUUAAAGAGACAACAUACAUUUACCAUAUGAGAAAGAGAAGUGCUUCCCCCGCUUAAUCAACUUAAAACACAUAAAACUUAUUCUCCUU